CGCGGUCGCCGUGGUUACCGUACCCCGGCUGCGGCUGAUCAGUAAACACUAAUUACGCCCGCCACCCAGGUGCCGGGGCGGCUUGCUGAAGACUGAAAAACACCUCAAUCCCACUCCGGGACUUUGGUAUGGUUUUUAAUUUUACGGCUCCUGUCCUCGAAUCUGUCCAAGCGUAUUAGUAUUACGUGCGAGGUUUUCCGACAGGACUUUGACGGAUGUUGCCCGGAGAGAAGCUGCUUUCCCGGGCAGAGAAAAGCUUCCUUUAGAGGCCUGGAUGGACGAGCCCUGCUGUACCCGCCUGGACCUGAUGCAAGCGCUUGGGUGGAGCAGUCCUUGAUGGAGCAGAAACAUCGUUUUCUGUGUGAGGGCCCGUCAUGGCCCAGGUGGACAGCCACGCAGACACACGCGCCACCUCCCCCAGAAAUCAGUCCCAGGCCAGGGGUGCAGGGGAGCGGCUUCGCCCGGGAGACUCACGAAGAGCGCCACUGCAAAACUCAGACUCUUCCGCCCCAGCACGCUGUCGCUGCCCCCGCUGUCCUGCCCGCGAGCAGUGGGGACACAGACGCGUGCACACAGACCGCCAGGGCCACUUCAUGGGCACGCCUAGUCUCACGCACGCGGGCGGGCGCUCACCAUACUGCUCCAGUCCCCUCCCAGCCCCAUAGCACCCUCUAGCGGGGAUAACGUGCUCCCUCGUAGGCGCACCGACCGACCGGACUUGAACCUAGCACCAAGCGCCCACCCUCCUCCUUCCUUAGCCCGGUGCUGCAGCUGAAGCUUCUGCAGGUUUGUUUGAUCACCUGCCUUUCUACUUCUCCUGCGUUUAUGACCCUGCUGACGCCCGGGGAGAGGGCAGCACAGCUAGCCAAUCAGGAUGCUCUAAAGGUCAAGCCUCCUGUCAGAGCCUCCCAUGGCCAAACCCAAGUGGAUGCUGAAGACAAAGGAGCCCAUAGAUGUGGUCCACAGAGGCCAGUUUCCAGGAACAGAGUACAGAGUGGAAGAAAGAGAAUAUCCAACAUUUUUCACACCUUUUGCCCUUCAUCAUCCACCUUGUCCAGAUGAAGGUGUCAUGUCCCCAGCCCCAGGACGUACAAAAUCCCAUUAGUUACUGAAUGACAUCGUACUCCCACCUGAAACCUAAAGUGUUAACCAUAAUGCUCUUCAUGUAAGGUUUGGGGGUAAAAGUGAAGGAAGAGAAUCAAGUAAUUAACAUAAAAGCUGCUAUUAUCCCUCCUUCUAUACCUGGUCAUGAGACUCAAGUUGAUAAUUGUGUCUUCCCUCUUUUAUUACCUAUUACACAUUUCCUAACUCUUUGCUACCACCUCAAAUAAUCAGGAUUUUUUUACCCUCAUUUCUUCAUAAUCUGUGUCCUUUGGUGGCACUAUCUUUUUUGGGUUGCCUCAGUUUUCCACUGAUGAGUAAUCUAGUGAAGAGAAUACUCAAUGGUGGUCUAUGAAGUCUUGGAUUCUGCAUUUGGUCCUUCCUGACCUCAUUGUAUAGUGGUGACCCAAUUUCUCCUUGGGACCUCCACUGAGGCCAGUGAGCCCAAGGUCGCCAGGAUCAGAAGCAAACAUCCCUUAAGAGGAUACAACAGUGAGAGGCCAUGCCCACAUCCAUGCUCCCAGUCUGGUUUCCAGACUUGGGCAUUCCGUCUAUGGGGCAGCACCAUACAUUGGCUGCUGGUUUAAGGUAUGUACUGUGUCCAAUAGCAGGUUUUGCAGACUGCGGUCUUCCAGGAGGCAUAGUAACUGAGCCUUCCGUGGGCCAUUCAACUGGAAUAUGAAGCCAUCUACUUUCUGAGGCAUGUGGAAAGACCAC
This is a long non-coding RNA of Lynx canadensis (Canada lynx), 1818 nucleotides long. RefSeq lists it as uncharacterized. The transcript is spliced from 3 exons. The record is from RefSeq and is a predicted model, not a curated record. Lineage: Eukaryota; Metazoa; Chordata; Mammalia; Carnivora; Felidae.